RNAcentral lists this ribosomal RNA (735 nucleotides) under uncultured bacterium. RNAcentral's name for it is "bacterial SSU rRNA". It matches the Rfam family "Bacterial small subunit ribosomal RNA", at positions 28 to 776 of the family's 1533-position model. The record is from RNAcentral.
GACGAACGCUGGCGGCGCGCCUAACACAUGCAAGUCGAACGAGCGAGAGAGAGCUUGCUUUCUCAAGCGAGUGGCGAACGGGUGAGUAACGCGUGAGGAACCUGCCUCAAAGAGGGGGACAACAGUUGGAAACGACUGCUAAUACCGCAUAAGCCCACAGCUCGGCAUCGAGCAGAGGGAAAAGGAGUGAUCCGCUUUGAGAUGGCCUCGCGUCCGAUUAGCUAGUUGGUGAGGUAACGGCCCACCAAGGCGACGAUCGGUAGCCGGACUGAGAGGUUGAACGGCCACAUUGGGACUGAGACACGGCCCAGACUCCUACGGGAGGCAGCAGUGGGGAAUAUUGCACAAUGGGGGAAACCCUGAUGCAGCGACGCCGCGUGGAGGAAGAAGGUCUUCGGAUUGUAAACUCCUGUUGUUGAGGAAGAUAAUGACGGUACUCAACAAGGAAGUGACGGCUAACUACGUGCCAGCAGCCGCGGUAAAACGUAGGUCACAAGCGUUGUCCGGAAUUACUGGGUGUAAAGGGAGCGCAGGCGGGAAAGCAAGUUGGAAGUGAAAUCCAUGGGCUCAACCCAUGAACUGCUUUCAAAACUGUUUUUCUUGAGUAGUGCAGAGGUAGGCGGAAUUCCCGGUGUAGCGGUGGAAUGCGUAGAUAUCGGGAGGAACACCAGUGGCGAAGGCGGCCUGCUGGGCACCAACUGACGCUGAGGCUCGAAAGUGUGGGUAGCAAACAGG